Molecule: ribosomal RNA, 460 nt
Filed under: uncultured bacterium
Lineage: Bacteria
Description: partial 16S ribosomal RNA
Rfam family: Bacterial small subunit ribosomal RNA
Source: RNAcentral
CCUACGGGAGACAGCAGUGAGGAAUAUUGGUCAAUGGGCGCGAGCCUGAACCAGCCAAGUAGCGUGAAGGAUGACUGCCCUACGGGUUGUAAACUUCUUUUAUAAAGGAAUAAAGUGAGGCACGUGUGCCUUUUUGUAUGUACUUUAUGAAUAAGGAUCGGCUAACUCCGUGCCAGCAGCCGCGGUAAUACGGAGGAGCCGAGCGUUAUCCGGAUUGAUUGGGUUUAAAGGGAGCGUAGAUGGGUUGUUAAGUCAGAUGCGAAAGUUUGCGGCUCAACCGUAAAAUUGCAAUUGAUACUGGCAGUCUUGAGUACAGUAGAGGUAGGCGGAAUUCGUGGUGUAGCGGUGAAAUGCUUAGAUAUCACGAAGAACACCGAUUGCGAAGGCAGCUUACUAGAAUGCCACUGACAUUGAUGCUCGAAAGUGUGGGUAGCAAACAGGAUUAGAUACCCCUGUAGUC